This 459-nucleotide ribosomal RNA is filed under the name uncultured bacterium. RNAcentral describes it as "partial 16S ribosomal RNA". It matches the Rfam family "Bacterial small subunit ribosomal RNA", at positions 338 to 795 of the family's 1533-position model. The record is from RNAcentral.
CCUACGGGAGGCUGCAGUGAGGAAUAUUGGUCAAUGGGCGGGAGCCUGAACCAGCCAAGUCGCGUGAGGGAUGACGGCCCUAUGGGUUGUAAACCUCUUUUGCCGGGGAGCAAGGUGUCGCACGUGUUCGGUUUGGAGAGUACCCGGAGUACAAGCAUCGGCUAACUCCGUGCCAGCAGCCGCGGUAAUUCGGAGGAUGCGAGGGUUAUCCGGAUUUAGUGGGUUAAAGGGGUGCGUAGGCGGACGCUUAAGUCAGCGGGAAAACUGCGGGGUUAAACCCCGUCGAGCCGUUGAAACUGGGUGCCUUGAGUGGGCGAGAGGUACGCGGAAUGCGUGGUGUAGCGGUGAAAUGCAUAGAUAUCACGCAGAACUCCGAUUGCGAAGGCAGCGUACCGGCGCCCAACUGACGCUGAAGCACGAAGGCGUGGGUAUCGAACAGGAUUAGAUACCCCAGUAGUC